GACGAACGCUGGCGGCGUGCUUAACACAUGCAAGUCGAACGGAAAGGCCCUGCUUUUGUGGGGUGCUCGAGUGGCGAACGGGUGAGUAACACGUGAGUAACCUGCCCUUGACUUUGGGAUAACUUCAGGAAACUGGGGCUAAUACCGGAUAGGAGCUCCUGCUGCAUGGUGGGGGUUGGAAAGUUUCGGCGGUUGGGGAUGGACUCGCGGCUUAUCAGCUUGUUGGUGGGGUAGUGGCUUACCAAGGCUUUGACGGGUAGCCGGCCUGGGAGGGUGACCAGCCACAUUGGGACUGAGAUACGGCCCAGACUCCUACGGGAGGCAGCAGUGGGAAAUAUUGCACAAUGGGCGGAAGCCUGAUGCAGCAACGCCGCGUGCGGGAUGACGGCCUUCGGGUUGUAAACCGCUUUCGCCUGUGACGAAGCGUGAGUGACGGUAAUGGGUAAAGAAGCACCGGCUAACUACGUG
This 468-nucleotide ribosomal RNA is filed under the name uncultured bacterium. RNAcentral describes it as "partial 16S ribosomal RNA". It matches the Rfam family "Bacterial small subunit ribosomal RNA", at positions 28 to 507 of the family's 1533-position model. The record is from RNAcentral.